UACGUAGGGGGCGAGCGUUGUCCGGAUUUACUGGGCGUAAAACGCUUGUAGGUGGCCACGCCAAGUCGGACGUGAAAUCUCCCGGCUUAACUGGGAGGGGUCGUUCGAUACUGGCGGGCUCGAGGCAGGUAGGGGGAAGCGGAAUUCCCGGUGUAGUGGUGGAAUGCGUAGAUAUCGGGAGGAACAUCAGUGGCGAAGGCGGCCUUCUGGUCCAGUACUGACACUCAAGUGCGAAAGCGUGGGGAGCAAACAGG
Molecule: ribosomal RNA, 254 nt
Filed under: uncultured bacterium
Lineage: Bacteria
Description: partial 16S ribosomal RNA
Rfam family: Bacterial small subunit ribosomal RNA
Source: RNAcentral